GCCGCCGCGUCCAGGGCCACCAAGGCCAGCGGCGCUCCGGCCAAGAAGGCGGCCGGCGACGGCGACGGCGACGGCGGGUUCAGCUUUGGCGGGCUCUUCUCCAAGAAAGAGUAGACGCCGAACUCAUAUCUGCUACUGUCUGAAGAAGAAAGCUCCAUGACUUGAUUCUGAUAAUCUGAUUUAAGGGCUCGCAAACAUACAUACCACUUUGUUGAUUCUG
This 220-nucleotide unclassified non-coding RNA is filed under the name Hevea brasiliensis (rubber tree). The record is from RNAcentral. Lineage: Eukaryota; Viridiplantae; Streptophyta; Magnoliopsida; Malpighiales; Euphorbiaceae.